Molecule: ribosomal RNA, 557 nt
Filed under: Pseudomonas luteola
Lineage: Bacteria; Pseudomonadati; Pseudomonadota; Gammaproteobacteria; Pseudomonadales; Pseudomonadaceae
Description: bacterial SSU rRNA
Rfam family: Bacterial small subunit ribosomal RNA
Source: RNAcentral
UGCCAUGGGCGAGCCUGAUCCAGCCAUGCCGCGUGUGUGAAGAAGGCCCUCGGGUCGUAAAGCACUUUAAGCUGGGAGGAAGGGUUGUAACCUAAUACGUUGCAGCUUUGACGUUACCAGCAGAAUAAGCACCGGCUAACUCUGUGCCAGCAGCCGCGGUAAUACAGAGGGUGCAAGCGUUAAUCGGAAUUACUGGGCGUAAAGCGCGCGUAGGUGGCUUGGUAAGUUGAAUGUGAAAUCCCCGGGCUCAACCUGGGAACUGCAUCCAAAACUGCCUGGCUAGAGUACGGUAGAGGGUGGUGGAAUUUCCUGUGUAGCGGUGAAAUGCGUAAAUAUAGGAAGGAACACCAGUGGCGAAGGCGACCACCUGGACUGAUACUGACACUGAGGUGCGAAAGCGUGGGGAGCAAACAGGAUUAAAUACCCUGGUAGUCCACGCCGUAAACGAUGUCAACUAGCCGUUGGGGUCCUUGAGACUUUAGUGGCGCAGCUAACGCAAUAAGUUGACCGCCUGGGGAGUACGGCCGCAAGGUUAAAACUCAAUGAAAUUUGACGGA